RNAcentral lists this ribosomal RNA (248 nucleotides) under uncultured bacterium. RNAcentral's name for it is "partial 16S ribosomal RNA". It matches the Rfam family "Bacterial small subunit ribosomal RNA", at positions 118 to 353 of the family's 1533-position model. The record is from RNAcentral.
UGGGUAACCUGCCUCAAGGAGGGGAAUAGCCUCCCGAAAGGGAGAUUAAUACCGCAUAAUAUGUUUAGGUCGCAUGACUUUAACAUCAAAGGAUUUUCUUUUAGAAAUUCCACUUUGAGAUGGACCCGCGGCGCAUUAGCUAGUUGGUGAGGUAAAAGCUCACCAAGGCUAUGACGGUUAACCGGCCUGAGAGGGUGUACGGUCACAUAGGCACUGAGACACGGGCCUGACUCCUACGGGAGGNAGCG